AGCUGGGUGGUGGCCUUGUGGUUAGAGCAUCCACCUCAGAUAUGGGAGGUCAUGGGUUCGAACCCCGGCCAAGUCA
This is a non-coding RNA of Potamilus streckersoni, 76 nucleotides long. NCBI's taxonomy places the organism in Eukaryota, Metazoa, Mollusca, Bivalvia, Unionida, Unionidae. The record is from the annotation of a GenBank genome assembly.